Molecule: unclassified non-coding RNA, 391 nt
Filed under: soil metagenome
Description: partial contains 5.8S ribosomal RNA, internal transcribed spacer 2, and large subunit ribosomal RNA
Rfam family: 5.8S ribosomal RNA (bases 1-122)
Source: RNAcentral
GAUGAAGAACGUAGCGAAAUGCGAUACUUGGUGUGAAUUGCAGAAUCCCGUGAACCAUCGAGUCUUUGAACGCAAGUUGCGCCCGAAGCCAUUAGGCCGAGGGCACGCCUGCCUGGGCGUCACACGUCGUUGCCCCCCCAUCUACUCCUUCGGGAUUGCGGGGGGCGGAUGAUGGCCUCCCGUGCGCCUCGUCGCGCGGUUGGCAUAAAUGCCAAGUCCUCGGCGACACACGCCACGACAAUCGGUGGUUGCGAAACCUCGGUUGCCCGUCGUGUGCGGUCGUCGCGCAUCGAGGGCUCGAAAAAAUUGCCGGGCUCCGGCUCGGCUUUCAACGCGACCCCAGGUCAGGCGGGGUUACCCGCUGAGUUUAAGCAUAUCAAUAAGCGGAGGA